GUCAGCUAAAACUAUUAGGUUCUUCAUGGGCGGAGGCGGUAUGGCCACCCAUGUAGGUCUCCCCGAACCGAAAUCAAUAUCAUAGAGAGGAAAUCUGCACAUGCUACUGUAGGUAGACAUAACCAUCCUUCCUGGUCUGGCAAGCCUUUGAACAAAUCGGUUGAGGUAACUCCUGUGCUCCCCUGUUGUAGCCUAUUCACAUGGUCCUUGUCAAUCUUUCUUAGUUCUUCUCGUACCUGCUUUACCAUGUCAUGACAAGAUUCUUGAUCAUAGACUCCGUUGCUGCUGCUGCUGCUGCUACUACUGAUCAAGGGAGUCGUAAGGAAAAUUUGAUAAAUAUUUCCAAAUGAACAGCGUGGCAAUGGUGGAUCAAUCGUGGAUCAAUAGGAUGAUCAUCCUUGGUAGCUUCUGUGAAUCGCCUCCAUAUGAAAGCAGACAAAGUUUCAACACGCGAUGGACGUUUUUCACGAUCAUCUUCCGCUAAACCGGUGUAUUUUUCUCCGAUAUCCCUCUAUUGUAGGGGCAUUGAACACAAAGCUCUUUUUUGCUUUAUUUGUUGUGAUGCUGCCGAGCGUAUCAUAGCCAGUAACAUCAUUGGCAGGUGGAAACGUACUCUGGACGCUCGAUUUUUGCUUCAUCUUUUUCUCCCAGGCCAAUGGCAGCCCAGGUUUUUGUGAACAUGAGCAUAGAUAACCCAUCUGCCAACUUGUGGGAAGUGCAUAGACCAAUGGCAAAGCCGCCUCCACAUUCAAAGAUAUUGUGCUGGACGCCUAAGGUAUUAACCAAUGACACAUGGCAAGGAAUUGUGAGUCAAGUUAGUUACAAAGGUAGUUGGGAAUUGAGUUUGUUAAGGAGGUUAGAGGGUAAUAUUGUAAUUGUGGAUUGUGAUUGGUUACUACAUAUAGCCAUUUGAUCCUUCACAUUCGGUAAGAAAGCUUUGUAAGAACACUUCGUCACUAAGAAAUUAGAGCAUACUUUGUUCUUCCAUUUUCUUUCUUUCUGCUUGAUCUUACUGUUCUUUAGAGAUUCAUAGUUCUGUUAAUAUGGUAUUAGAGCCACCAGGCUCACACCAUGGAUUCUGGUGGUUCCACUUCCCAUUAUUUUUCAUCUGUUUCUAGCUUAGUUUUCUUUCCAAAUUUUCAUUCGAUGGUCGGAUAUGUUUCUGGGUGCUUCCGCAAUCGUUCGUUUACUUCUGGGUUGAUUUUUUGUGAAGCUGCUGCUGACUCGCAGGAAUUCAAAGUUCAAUCAUUUAAUCGGAUGAUUAAAAGAUUUGGGGGUGUUUGAUUUGAUUAACCAAUGAUUCGUGGUGAUGGUUUCUGUAAUCGAUUCGUAACUUCUGGGCUAUGAACAGAGAGUGUAGGUCAAAAUCUGGGUCGUCAAAAGAUUACGGUGCCGAGUUCCAUCUUCUUUCUGCUGUGCAAAUCUCGAUUCGGUGGUGAUUAUUUCUGCUGUUCGUCUGGGAAUUUCUCUUCUGCGUUGCUGAUUGGAAAGUGGGAUCUUGGACUCUGUCAAGUUGUUUCUUGUAUCUGUCAUCUUCUUUAUGCAUGCAUGGUGUUUGUGGAAUUGCUGCAGAGGAUAAAGUGAAUGGAGAAAAAAGUUGCUACAUCAAAAUUGUUGGCCACGAAAGGUGAAGACUCCUUAUUCUGUGACAUGGGUAAUUGUUCUUGUCCUGAAAUGGUUUUAAUUUCGGUUGCAAAAUCUGGUGAAAAUGAUGCCCAUCAUGUGUUUGUUGGACGGCAGCAAACGACUGACAUUGCUUCUUUGAAGCAUGGCUUCCAUGAAUUCAUUCGAGACAAGGGUGGAGGUUUACCAAAAGACAAGAUUUGGAAGGACCACUCAAGAAUAUCCAGGAAUUUUUCAGAAGAAAUCGACCUCUUAAUUGUACCUGCUGACCAAACUCGUAUUGCUCUCCAAGUGUUUGAUGAAAGGUCACACUCAGCAGAUUGUGAUUUGCAGUUGGGCUAUCACAUGCCGAUUUCUGACACCGGAGGUACACUUCGUAGGUUCUUUACUUCGACUGUUCAAAUCAAAGAUGCUCAUAGUUCUAAAGGUGGAACAACUAUUCAAAGGCUCCUUAAUUCAGAAUCUACUGGAAAAGUUGAAACCAUUUUGGUGCAAGAAAAUGCGUCUGCUUAACUGUUUGAUGCAUUGCAGCCUUUUGGUGGGUUUUAUAAUGAUGCACUUGUUUCUGUUAGUUUUCAGUUCACCUAUCAUAAAGGAAUUCGUGAUAAAGGUGGAACUAUUUUUCUCUCUGAAUUCAAUUCAAUGGAUUUCCUAGCAGUCUGUGAGUUGGGUUUUGUUCUUAAUGUGAAAAAGAUGAAUUUUUUGGAGGAAGCUGACCCCUUGAUUGUACCUGUUGAGACGACUUUUCUUGUUUUCAAUCUGUUUGAUAAAAUGUGGCUCUCUAGUUGCUGUAUGUGCUACUGGAAGGGCAUUCAUGAUAAGGAUGGAGGCUCAAAAUUCAGGGAUGAAAAAAUUCAAGCAUGUGCUGCAAAUAGAGGAUGAUUAGUCGGAGGAAGUUUCCAACUUGAUUACCCAAGUGUUGGGUAACGGAAACUCUUAUGAUGGUUACACGUAUGACUGAUGGAAAAACUGUAAUGUCCAAUGUUGCCAGAAAAUCAAAGGUGGCUGAUCUUGCUCGGUUUCUUACUGAUUAUGGGGCUUGCAUUGAAGGAGCAGGCAACAACAAGCUUAUUAGCAAGGGAAAAUCUCAGUUGCAUGGUUAUGAAUGCAUUAUUGCACCUGAUCGUAUUGAAGUCUAUACAUUUAUUCUUGCUGCGGCUAUUACUCACUCUUGCAUCUCGAUAUCACAUAUCGUGUCGUGUCAAGUGUCCUAUUUGAUACACAAACGCUCGGCUGUUGGUUACAAAAUCAAGCAAUAUUCACAUGAUACCUUGGCAGUUUCAGCUUUGCUUGGACGUGGUGGUGACAAUUUGCAAAGCUUUGAGGUUACAGGUCUAUAUCCUGGGUUUCUCACAUACCUCAAACCAAAAUUAAUGGCUUUGCUAACCACGUGCAAUGGAUUAAGUCAUGCAGAGGAACCUGUAUUUGACAAGAGCAUAAGUCAUGUAAGUACAACCCUUAAUUCCUCUUCUACAAAUGAAUCUGAAAAUGCUAUUGCAUAUAACAACGAUGUAGCAGAUGAGGCUUUAUGUUUGAUACUCAUCUCAAUUGGUAAAACAAAUGAGAUUGUGGGAAAUACUGUGUUGCGCAAAACAGGGGGCUUGCCAAUUGAGAGGGCAGAUUCUUGUCAACCGAUAUGGCCGCUAGUAUUAACACACAAAUUUCAAAAUAAUACUACGAGCAUGGUUGUUAAUUUUGUGCUUACUGCUGUGAUUGGUGCAUUGUUACUGAGAAAGAAAGGAAACAAAUUCAUAGGGUUGGUGUACAGGUGGACUUUCUAGGUAGGAGCUCAGUUCAUGUGAGUAGUGUCAUUAUGCAUCUGUACUCUAGGUGUGGCAAUGAGCAUAAGGCGUUGCAGUUUCUCUUGGACCCAGAUUUGUGCAGACUGACUAAACCAGAUAUCGUUUCUUGGACUUCUUUGUUGGGAGGGUGUGUUAUGACAUUGGGUUCUGAAUGGUCAAGUAUUUUUGGGUCACUUUUAUGGAGUAACUUAGGCCAUGAAAAGAGAAAUGUUGAAUUGCAGUGCUGCUGCUUUGCAUUCCUUUCCAUCUUGUUGAACACACAGCCUGUUUCUAAUAUGCAUUUCGAGGAACUAAUCAAUCAGAGAUCUUUUGGGUUCGUCUCAAGCUCAACUUGUAGAGAAUUGGUAACGAGAUUUAAUGUAGCUGCUAUUGUGCUAAUCAAGUGGCGGUACUACUCUUUGAUCAGAUUUUGUGGAACUGUCAAGCUUUGAAGUUGUCCAGCUUUGCAAAUCAAAUUCUUCAGGUUUUUCAGUUUCAAGCCUUGCUGCACAGGUCAUUUUAUUAGGGGGGUAUUGUUAGGAUGCCACAGGGCCAUUGCCAGUUAUCACAGAUUCUGGGAUUUUGCAAGAUGUACCAGUGCAGUCUUGGAUAGAAGAAUGAUCAAGAAAGUGCUGUAGCUACGGAAGCCUUAGUCAAUGGCAAAACCACUCCAAGAUGAUGCUACAUGGGAACUAUACCGUGAACUGAAGCUCAAGUUUCCAGAAAUUGUGAACCUUUAAUACAUUCUUGUGAUUUUGUUGUUUCUGGUUUUAUUGCUGGUUUUCGAUUGUACUUGGUUCGAAAUUGUAAAUCUUACUUGUAAGAUUGGUUUUAAGGGGGGGUAUUGUUAGGAUGCCAGAUGGCAUCAUCUUGGUGAUAGCUAGAGUUGAGUAUUAGCAUAAAUAGUACAUUGUAAGAGAAGAAAGGCAGUUAAUGAAAUGAUAUUGUUGUUUUGUUACUA
Non-coding RNA from Malus domestica (apple), 4365 nucleotides. Lineage: Eukaryota; Viridiplantae; Streptophyta; Magnoliopsida; Rosales; Rosaceae. The record is from RefSeq and is a predicted model, not a curated record.